This 280-nucleotide small RNA is filed under the name uncultured Roseovarius sp. RNAcentral's name for it is "5' ureB small RNA". It matches the Rfam family "5' ureB small RNA". Lineage: Bacteria; Pseudomonadati; Pseudomonadota; Alphaproteobacteria; Rhodobacterales; Roseobacteraceae. The record is from RNAcentral.
CGAUCUGUUGCGGGCAGAUGAAAUGGAUAUGGCUGUCGAACCCGCCUGCGGUGAGGAUGCGCCCCUCACCGGCGAUUACUUCGGUGCCGGGGGCGAUGAAGAUAUCGACGCCCGGUUGCGUGUCGGGGUUGCCCCCCUUGCCGAUCUUGUGAAUGCGCCCGUCCUUGAGGCCCACGUCGGCCUUGUAGAUGCCGGUGUGAUCGACGAUCAGCGCGUUGGUGAUGACGGUAUCGACCGCGCCCUCGCCGCGAGUGGUCUGCGCUUGCCCCAUGCCGUCGCG